CGACCGGCGCACGGGUGAGUAACGCGUAUCCAACCUGCCCUUUACUAUGGGACAGCCCGUCGAAAGGCGGAUUAAUACCGUAUGUUGUCAUGUUGAUGCAUAUUUUCAUGACCAAAGGCUUCGGCCGGUAAAGGAUGGGGAUGCGUCUGAUUAGCUUGCCGGCGGGGUAACGGCCCACCGGGGCGACGAUCAGUAGGGGUUCUGAGAGGAAGGUCCCCCACAUCGGAACUGAGACACGGCCCAAACUCCUACGGAAGGCAGCAG
RNAcentral lists this ribosomal RNA (264 nucleotides) under uncultured bacterium. Its description in RNAcentral is "partial 16S ribosomal RNA". It matches the Rfam family "Bacterial small subunit ribosomal RNA", at positions 92 to 354 of the family's 1533-position model. The record is from RNAcentral.